Molecule: long non-coding RNA, 6104 nt
Filed under: Daucus carota (carrot)
Lineage: Eukaryota; Viridiplantae; Streptophyta; Magnoliopsida; Apiales; Apiaceae
Description: long non-coding RNA (DCAR_LNC003775)
Source: RNAcentral
AUCAUCACAGAAAUACUCGUUCGACUUCCGGUGAAAUCCGUUCUCCAAUGCAAGUCCGUUUGCAAGCCUUGGCUACACACCAUUUCAAACCCUAAUUUCAUCAAAUCUCACCUCCAUCACGCCAUCACCGCUUCUCGGUAUGAUCCCACACUUCUCAACAUCAUUAAUGUGACACAACUUGCCUUGCUCGCUAUUGAACCGCUCCUCCUUUUCGCCGAUCCAGCUGAAUUGCAACAGCAACAACGACGACAGCUUGUUAAUCAGGCCCUUGAUGAUGCCGACUCCCAAGAUUUGUCGGGAUCGCCUUUGCAGCUUGCUCGCCUUGAUAUACCAGGUCGGCUCGGAUUGUCUCAAUUUGUUGGUUGUUGUAAUGGUAUUAUAUGUCUAUGUAAUAAUGAUGAUGAUGUCUAUCUUUGGAAUCCAUCAAUCAAAAUGUUUAGGGAAAUUGUAUUUCCCAACCGGGAUGGAAAAAUAUCAGCUACAGUUGGGUUUGGCUAUGAUCGUAUCUCGAAUGAAUACAAGCUCCUUAGGUUUGUGUAUGAGAGCAGGGAUGGCGUUGUUCCGAUGGCCAAGGUGUAUUAUGUAAAUGCCGAUUAUUGUAGAGAAUUUCAAAGUCCGAAUUUGAAGACACAAAUUUAUCCAGUGGCGCAAAGUAAUAUUGUUGUCAACAAUGUUCUGUAUUUUGUUGGCGGAGAUCAGCUAGUCUCUUUUGAUUUACAUGAGGAAGCGUUUGAACUAGUUGCGUUUCCUAACAUUAUACAAAAAAAGAUGUCAGAUGUUAUGGAUUUCGAAGGUUCUGUUGCUAUUGUCUUUGAGUCUGGAACUGGGGUUGAUCUAUGGACGUUGGAUACUGUUUCUGGUGUGUUUUCUUGGACCAAGAAGUUCAGCAUGGAGUAUGGGUUGGAUGAUUUGGAUACAGAGAUAUGGCUGUCUUGUUAUUUGGGUGCAAAACAGUUCUAUGGAUGGAAGUUGCUGAAUGGAAAUUAUUUCGUGUAUGAAAUCUUGUAUGACUAUGAGAAGAAAAAUAUCAAAUAUUACAGUCUUGGAGAAGAGUAUGUUAAGAUAUACCGAACUUCAGAGGAGUUGGAGGCAAUGAUUCGUUUAUUGCUGGAAGACUCAAUUGUACCUGUUCAUACAGCUUUCAAAUACACUGAGACACUUGUUUCACUUGACAGGUUUGAACCAGUAGAAAAUGCUAGGAAUGAACUAUCUACUAAUUCUUGGGGUAAGUUAACAAAACAUCAGCUCAUUAGUAAAUCUUAUUAAUCAGUUAUAUUUCAUUGAAUGCAGCGGAUGGGUUUUUUAACUUUAAUUAGAGUAUCAAAGAUAAUUUUUUUUGUUAAAAACUAUAUUGCUCCCUAAAUAUAUAUAAGCAAUGGCUUUAACGCCCCCGAGUUAUAAUUAGGGGGAAAUCAAGUGAAAAGGAAGUAAAGUUAUGUAACUUUCACUCCUGUUUUUGCUCCCGAGUCUUUUAAAAGGAGGAAAGCAAGUGAAAGUGGAUGCAAAUAUAUCAUACUUUCACUCCAAAAGUUUCACUCCAAAAGUGGGAUGAAAGUGAAAGCACAUUUGCUUUCACUUGCUUUCUCUCCUAAAUUAAAUUGAGUUAUGUGUAUAUGUGUGGCAGUCAAACAUAGAAUCUUGUAUUCAAAGGGUAUUUUUUGGAAAAACAUCCAAAAAUUGCUUUGAAAAGAGAAAUGGGACAAGUAUUUUGGGACAAUUUUUUUCCAAAAGAGACAUGUAAAAGGGGACGGAGGAAGUAUUUGAAAACGGAGGGAGUGCCGGUCAACAUUUAGGAAAAGGUUACUGUAUCACUUCCUUUAGAUUAAUAGUUACAGUAACUUACAGGAAUACAGAAAUUACCUUAAGAAAUACAAUUAGUGUCGCAAAUGACAUCACUGAUCUAAGACCUAUAUGUAAUUCAACUAUAGAUUUCCCAACUGUAACAAAUGUUAAAUUGUGUAUUUCAUCAUAUCUUUAUCUUAAUUAGAUUCUGUUCCUAUGUGCUGAUGGAGUAAGAUAUUCUAGCAGAGUUGCAGUAUAACAAAACUUUAGAUUGACGAUUGUUACUAUAAUUUUUUUUGGUCUUGUCUGUUUGUUAUAAUAAUAAGUAACUUGAUAAGUAUUCCUUAUUGAAUGAAUAUUCUGUUUUUGUCUUGUCCCUGUUAUUUAACCAGUCAUUUUCAAAAGAUAUAUAUUGUCCGAUGAAUGUUAUAUGAUAUCUAAUUAAUGUAUAAUAUCUGAAAGACAGCUUUUGCUUUUGUUACCUGAAAGCCAAAUUGCUCAAUUUGGUGAUUUAGUUACCAAUCCUGCUUUAUUGAUGGAAGCUUUUGCGUUCUAUUCUUUUGCAGGAUUCAUACAUGAGUCAUAACUGAAAGGUAAGCAGCACAAGGCAAGUGAAGUGUUGUUAGAGCAAGUCCAAUAGAUGUGCUAAAUCAAGUCUUAAAUCCAAAAAUAGGGAAUAUGGGAUAAAAUUGCACUCCAACACUAUGCUAGUGAUGUGCUAAAUCACUAGCACAAGCCUUCCCUUCCCUAUUUUUAGAAUAUGCUAGCCACUUCUAAACUAUUUUUAUCAUUAAAAUAUUCAUUUCCCUCUCUCCUCCACAUCAUUUCCCUCUCUCCUCCACACCAAAAUUGUUUAAAUUUAAUAUUAUUAUAAUAAUAGGGAAUGGAUAUAGGGAGUACUAUUAGAGCUCAUGUGCUAAAUCUUGUGCUAAAUCACUAAGACAUAUUAUUUUAUAAUAUAUUUAGGGAACCUCUCUUGCUUCAUAUCUAUGAGAAGACCCUACUGUCUAACAAUUUACUACUAUUGACUAUCUAGAUAAAUAUGUUGCAAGUAUAGUUUGCUAUAUCUAUUUGAAGGGACCAGGUCUCUGGCAUACGGCUGCCAGGGACUGGUUAUACAACAGCCCAUUUCUUGGCCGCUAGAUAUGCAUCCAACGGCCAGGAAAUGGGCUGUUGGUUAAGCGGUCCACAGCAACCGGUUGCUGUGGACCGCUACCCCUAUUUGAAAUGGGUGGAUAAAUGGCGUGUAGAGCCUUUGUUCUUUGUUUCUCAGUAUGUUUGUAUUAUGGAACAUUUGCUCUGUUUAAGAAUCUUAAAUUAAUUUUUUACUUCCACUGAACUGAAAUGGGUUGAUGAAUUGCGUAUAGAGCCUUUGUUCUAUCUUCUAUGUUUCUUCGUAUGUAUUAUGCAACAUUUCCUGUCUAAGAAUCUUGAAUUUAUUUCUGACUUCCACUGAAGUGAAGGUCAUGAUUUACAAGCCUGAUCUUGAUACACAUAUCAAAGAAUAUACUUAAAUUUAAAAAAAAAAUAUUUUUAAUCUCUAUGAAUUAUCAAAAAAAUCUUAAACAAGGAUCAUUUUAUGGUAUUUGUUUUAUUGACUUAAGAUGCAUUGAACGACUAAUUCCAAAAUUUAUUUCUCUAGUUUUUCUUUUGUAAAUGGAAAUUUCAUAUUUUAAUUUUUAUUCACAAAAAUAAUAUUUUAAAAAUAAAUAAUGUAGUUAUGCGCCAAUAAAUCUUAAAUUGUGUCCUCGAAGUCAACGAGCUCAUUUAAUCUGGUAUGAUUUAAUCUGGGAUGGAGGGAGUAUCUGGAUAAUCAGAUUUGUCAAUACGGUUACAAUGAAUAUCUGAUUAAUGAAUUUUAACCAAUUGAAUAUAUCGAUUUUUUUUUAAAAAUUUUCAAUCGAAUAUGUCCCGUUAGGAUAAUUCAUUUUUUUUAGAGAAUAUCAUUCGUUUUAACUCUAUUUUUCCCGGUUAAAUCAAACGACCCCUUAUCUAUAAUACUCACUUCAUCCCACAAUACAUGUUUCUUUUGAAAGAAAUUUUUGUCCCAUAGUACAUGUCAUAUUUAUUUCCAAUGAAAAUAUAUUGCCAAUAUUUCAAAUUUACCCUUUUUCAACAAUUAUUAAAGAGGACUAUCAGAAAAAGCUGUUACCUCCUCUCUCCCUCUCCUCCUCCUCCCCCUCAUAUUACAUGUGUGUACAUAUGCAAUUAGUCCAGAAUGAUCGAGAACUACUCUGUAAACAUAAAUGUUUUGGUCGUUGUUUCGCCGGAGAUCACUCUCGUUUCUGGUGACUUUUUUUGUUUGUUUCCUCAUAAUGAAAUCUCGCCGGCCCGUGCUUCCGGUCGACCGGAGCGGAAUUCCUUCACACGCGAGCUUCCUGUUAAGCUUCGACGGAGGAGUCCUUUUCCGGAGCCUGUUCUGAUCACAUCUUCGGCCGGUUUGUUACCGGCGACGAUUCAGUCUCCGGCGGAUAUGAUACGGUGGAAUUACUUAGCGUACGAAGCCAUGUUUACCGAGAGCGACGUGGUUGUAUUCGCCAAAGGCGUGAACAAGCGGCAAGGCAAAAACUGGGACCCAUGGGAGUUGAAUUGCGUGUUUGGCGAUGACGAUUUGCUUAUUGAAUUUCUUCUUUUGUUUGAUUUAAUCUUUAUUUGUCAUCGUUAUUCUUUAUAUUUUGACAUUCAUCCAUAUUUAUAUUGUUCUGGUACUGCUAAUUUUUAUGGAUGUAGAAACUUCUGCCUAGCAAGGUCAUAUCCAUGGUGGUGAUGGAUAGUUCCAGAAGGGGUGGAGAAGAAGAGCUAAUUUGACGAUAAUUGUUCCUUAAUUAAGGAUAUUAAUUAUUCUUAAUUAAGGUUUUUAGUACCAUUUAUGGCGAUCAUUAUUGGGCAUUAUUGGCCCAUAGAGUCAUUUAAGUGCCAUAAUGUUGGCUCGUUUAUGUCUUUAUUUUAAUUUUUUUCAAAUUCGCUCACAUUCGUUUCAUUCUGUUUUGUCUUAUUUUCAGGAUGUUUAAGAAUUUAUUUGUUAAGGCUGCUUCCGAGAAGACGCGAACCUUGGUGUACAAGACAGCUGAGCUACAAACAUAGAGAGAAAGGAAUAAAGAAGACAUCAUUUUUAGUCUAUUUUGUAAUCGAUGUAAUUUUUGUAGGGCACUCUUUUUCCCAUUGAGUUUUUUUCCCACAGAGUUUUGCUCUUGAGGGGUUUUAACGAGGUCCUUUUUCUGUGGGUUAUCUCUUCUGACUUGAAAGUCUAUGUUAUCUAAGCUUCCGGAGUAUUUACAUACUUUCGGUUAGAUGAUAUACCUUCUUGAACGAAGCAUACUCUGUCCAUCCGGAUUUGUAUCUUUCUUGGUAUAAUACAACCGUUUUAUGACAAAAAAAAACAAUUAAUGGGGGUUGAAUAAGAGUCUACAUUCAUGUAUUUAUUAGAGUUAUAUGUGAGAAAAUGUUAUUUAAUUAAUGUUUUCUUCAUAUGCGUAAUUUUUUCAAAAUAAACUUGUAUUUUGAGACGGAAAGAAUAGUCAUUAAAAUAAGUGCAUAGGCGAUCCAUAUCUCAGAUACCAAGCGUCACAAAGCAAACCCAGCUCAAGAGUCGAGAAGAGUCUUCCUGAUGUUUUGAUACUCCUGUCCAGAUAAAUUUUUUACAUUUAGUUUGGACGGAGGUUAAGAAAUAAAAAUAAUAAAAAAACAAAGAAGAGUAGGUAAAGGUUGAGAAUAUUUAAUUUGGAGAGAGAUUAACAAAUGUGUAUAAAAUAGUAGAAAAGAGAAAGAUGAGUAGAUGAAGAGAAUCAUUAAUUUUUAAUAUAUAAAAAAAGAUAAUUGAGUAAAAAUAGUAUAAAAAUAUAGGAAAAAAUGAAAAAGUGAUAGCACCAUCGACCAUUUUUGACACAUAAUUAAUCGGAUUUAAACCAAAACUAAAGAAAUAUAGUUGGGAGGUGGAGUAUUAAAUAGCGUGUGAUUGUCAGUUUUGAGCUGCGAGCAGCUAGAUCAACCAGAAACACAGAGCCCAAACUAAACCCUAAAGUUUCACUUUCUUCUCCAAACAAGAUGACAGAGAAUCCAAAGAGGUCCCUAUCUGAUUUCCCCGAAGAAAUCAUCACAGAAAUACUUGUUCGACUUCCGGUGAAAUCUGUGCUCCAAUGCAAAUCCGUUUGCAAGCCUUGGCUACACACCAUUUCAAACCCUAAUUUCAUCAAAUCUCACCUCCAUCACGCCAUCACCGCUUCUCGAUAUGAUCCCACACUACUCAACAUCAUUAAUGUGGAACAACUUGCCUACCUUGCUGCUAGUGACCGGCUCUUCCAUUACGCCGAUCCUGCCCCAGC